UUAUGUUAAAUUAAUGGCCUUUGGACAUCAAAUGUAAAUGUCUCGUCAUUGACCCAGAUACUAGUUAGUUAGUUAGAAUUUGCUCGCAAAACUACUUCCAGCUUCCUUCAUACUGGAUGCAAAGACAUAAAAAUGGUGGUAUCCAUGAGUUUAUCUGACUCUGAGGAAGUAGAUAAAGGGCUUCAUUGCCAAAAUCACAAAGUAUCCCUUUAAGGUCCUUGCAGGCCCAGGGAAGUGUGUGUGUGUGUGGACGUGUUUAGUUAUUCUUGUGGGGACCAGAAAUCCCCGCAAGAAUAGUAAACAAACAAAAAUUUGACCAACUGGGGACAUUUUAUUAGUCCCCACAAGGUCAAAUGCUAUUUCUAGGGGGUUUAGGGUUAAGGUUAAGUUUUUGGGUUAGGGUUAGGGCAAGAGUACGGGUUAGGUUUAGGGCUUAGGGAAAGUAUGAUUUAUUAUGACAGAAUUGUGUGUCCCCACAUGGUUAGCUGUUCAAGACUGUGUGUGUGUGUGUGUGUGUGUGUGUUUACUUUUUGUCAUUGUCCUGAUAAAUCACUUUGUUCUGGCUCAUGACUGAUGAUAAAUCACUCUGUUCUCCAACUCAUGAUCAAUGACUGAUGAUAAAUCACUCUGUUCUCCAACUCAUGAUCAAUGACUGAUGAUAAUUUACUCUGUUCUCUGCGAAAGGGAAUCUGGACUUGCACUCGUAUGUGUACAACCCUACAAACUCUCACACUGUUCAGUUAACUCGUGAUGCUAUAUUUGUUAUAAAUGUUUGUUAGACAUAAUUGGCUGUGUAGAUACUCACAGAGAUUAAUUUAUUAUGAGUUCACAAAUUAGUCAUGGUACAUACAGUGCCUUCAGAAUGUAGUCAUACCCUUUAACUUAUUCCACAUUUUGUUGUUACAGCCUGAAUUCAAAAUGGAUUAAAUAAAUAAAAAAUCUCACCCAUCUACACACAAUACCUACCCUAUAAUGACAAAGUGAAAACAUGUUUUUAGACAUUUUUGCCAAUUUAUUGAAAAUUAAAUACAGAAUUUUACAGAACACUUCCCUGGGCCUUCAAGGACCUUAAAGGGAUACUUCGGGAUUUUGGCAAUGAAGCCCUUUAUCUACUUACAUAAGUAUUCACACCCCUGAGUCAAUACUUUGCAGAAGCACCUUUGGCAGUGAUUACAGCUGUGUCUUUCUGGGUAAGUCUCUACAAGCUUUACACAACUGGAUUGUGCAACAUUUGCCCAUUAUUCUUUUCAAAAUUCUUCAAGCUCUGUCAAAUUAGUUGUUGAUCAUUGGUAGACAACCAUUUAAGGCAAGUAGAUUUAAGUCACUGGAACUCAGCCAAUCAGGAACAUGCACUGUCUUCUUGGUAAGCAACUCAAGUGUAGAUUAGGCCUUGUGUUUUAGGUUACUGUCCUGCUGAAAGGUGAAUUCAUCUUCCAGUGUCUGGUGGAAAGCAGACUGAACCAGGUUUUCUAGGAUUUUGCCUGUGCUGGACUCCAUUACGUUUAUUUUUUAUCCUGAAAACUCCUUAGUCCUUAACGAUUACAAGCAUACCCACAACAUGAUACAGCCACCACUAUACUUGAAAAAAUGGAGAGUGGUACUCCGUAAAGUGUUGUAUUGGAUUUGCCCCAAACAUAACACCUUGUUUUGGAAUAUGUUUAUUCUGUACAGGCUUCAUUCUUUUUACUCUGUCAAUUAGGUUAGUAUUGUGGAGUAACUAAAAUGUUGUUGAUCCAUCCUCAGUUGUCUCCUAUCACAGCCAUUAAACUCUAACUGUUUUAAAAUCACCAUUGGCCUCAUGGUGGAAUCUCUGAACGGAUUUUUUCCCUCUUGCAACUGAGUUAGGAAGGACGCCUGUAUCUUUGUAGUGACUGGGUGUAUUGAUACACCAUUGAUAGUGUAAUUAAUAACUUCACCAUGCUCAAAGGGAUAUCCUAUCUUUAUUUUUUCAUUUUUUUACCCAUCUAUCAAUAGGUACCCUUGUUUGCAAAGCAUUGUAAAAUCUCCCUGGUCUUAUGGUUGAAUCUGUGUUUGAAAUUCGCUGUUCGACUGAGCGACCUUUACAGAUAAUUGAAUGUGUGGGGUACAGCAAUGAGGUAGUCAUUAAAAAAUCAUGUUAAACCCUAUUAGUCCAUGCAACUUAUUAGGAAUUCAUAUAGGCUUGCCAUAACAAAGGGGUUGAAUACUAAAGACAUUUCAGCUUUUCAUUUUAAUUAAUUUGUAAAAAUGUCCUAAAACGUAAUUCCAUUUUGACAUUAUGGUGUAUGGAAAAAGUCAAAGGGUGAGAAUACUUUCUAAAGGUACUGUAUAACUUAACUAAGGCCACCAACCAAACCCAAGUGGCAUAUUUGUAUUUACACAGAGAUAAAUAAUAGAUGAAUGUUUACAGUUAUUAUAAAUUAUUUUGUAAUUUUCAUAAUGAAAAUAUAUAUUUGAGAUAAUAUACAGUAUCACUUUAGUUGGCAAUAACAAUAUUGAAACAGUUGUGGUUACUAUGACUGAAUGUGACAAAGCCAAGGCACAUAUCAAUACAGUUAAAAUACGUAUGAAAAAACCAUGUAUUAGGAUGCCAACGUACAAUCUGUUUACUGUAUGAACAAGAUAGGUUUUCAAGUAUUUGCCCAGGCUCUUAGUUUUGUCUGUUUGUUGUCGUCAUGUUGUAGAACCUCGUGCAUUCCAAUAAAGAAAUCCUUUGUAAUACUACUGGGAAAACUCAAUAA
This 2720-nucleotide long non-coding RNA is filed under the name Salmo salar (Atlantic salmon). RNAcentral describes it as "lncRNA (ENSSSAG00000093930.1)". Lineage: Eukaryota; Metazoa; Chordata; Actinopteri; Salmoniformes; Salmonidae. The record is from RNAcentral.